This 336-nucleotide ribosomal RNA is filed under the name Triticum aestivum (bread wheat). Its description in RNAcentral is "partial small subunit ribosomal RNA". Lineage: Eukaryota; Viridiplantae; Streptophyta; Magnoliopsida; Poales; Poaceae. The record is from RNAcentral.
AUGGAUCUUGGGCGUCUCAACUAUGGUAUCGUGACCCUCAUCCCCAAGGUCCCGGGCGCCUCCGUCAUCCGCCAGUUUCGUCCAAUCACAGUGAUUAAUGUGAUAUUCCGGAUCCUGGCCAAAGGGUACGCCAAUAGGGUGACCCUGCUCGCUGAUGCGAUUACCCAUCCGAACCAAUCCGCCUUCAUACAAGGCCGAUUUAUUCUGGAUGGGGUACUAGUAUUCCACGAAGUCCUCCAUGAGGUCCGGAUGAAACGCCAUCGGGCGGUCUUUCUGAAGCUAGACUUGCACAAAGCGUACGACACGGUCCACUGGCCCUUCUUGCGGGAAGUGUUG